This 216-nucleotide ribosomal RNA is filed under the name Campeiostachys nutans. RNAcentral describes it as "Elymus nutans partial small subunit ribosomal RNA". The stretch from base 32 to 216 matches the Rfam family "Eukaryotic small subunit ribosomal RNA", at positions 678 to 864 of the family's 1831-position model. Lineage: Eukaryota; Viridiplantae; Streptophyta; Magnoliopsida; Poales; Poaceae. The record is from RNAcentral.
GGAUCAGAUUGUCGGCCGUGCCUCGGUACGCACUGGCAUUAUUGGUUCCUACCUUCUGAAGAACCGCGAUGUCAUUAAUUUGGAUGCUUUGGGGAACCAGGACUUUUACUUUGAAAAAAUUAGAGUGUUUAAAGCAGGCUCACGCUUGAAUACAUUAGCAUGGAAUAAUGAAAUAGGACGUUUGAUUCUAUUUUGUUGGUUUCUAGGAUCGACGUA